This 630-nucleotide unclassified non-coding RNA is filed under the name Hevea brasiliensis (rubber tree). Lineage: Eukaryota; Viridiplantae; Streptophyta; Magnoliopsida; Malpighiales; Euphorbiaceae. The record is from RNAcentral.
UGGGUUUGGUAUCAGCCUGUGUCCUCGAGUUACCUGAACUUCCUCCACCGUCUGCGCUAUCUAAAACAUUGGCCUUUGUUAAUGAAUCUAUCAGUUUACUUGGAUGUUCGUUGGAAACCUUUCUCCUCUUUGAAUUAUUUCUCAACGUUUCACUAUUGGCAUUUGUAAGCUGAUUGAAAUCAUCAUCAUCAUCCGAAUACUCAUCAGGAAUCCUUCUUAUAACUUCUUUUGAUCUCCGUUCAAAUAUUGAUUUUAUAAGUGCUUCAUCCUCUUCUUCCAACUUCUUCUCCUUUUCCGCAGCUGUUUGCUGCAAGGCCUCAAGCAUAGCAUCUACGCUGACAGUUGCAUGUCUUGACUUCAUAGACUUCAUCUCGUCAAGUGCAGCAAGAAUGUCCAUCUCUCUUUUGGAGUCCAAAGUCCGAUUCUCCAAGGAUUUCAUUGCAUCACCCAUCUCCUCAGCAUCCCUUUUUUGCCUCUCCUUAUCAGCUUCCUCAUCCUCAGCACGCCAGGGCUCAAAAUUUCGUGUAGCGCCACUCUCAACAACAUAAUCAGAAUUUUGAGGAUCAGUCUUUAUGGCAAGCUCGGCUGAACAUUUGGUGCACUUGAAAUAGAACCUGAAAAUUUGAAUUC